CUCAAAUUUAAAAUCUGGCGGUUCUGCCGUCCGAGUUGUAAUCUGGAGAAGCGUUUUCCGCGUCGGACCGUGUACAAGUCUCUUGGAAUAGUGCGUCAUAGAGGGUGAGAAUCCCGUCCAUGACACGGACUACCGAUGCUCUGUGAUACGCUCUCAAAGAGUCGAGUUGUUUGGGAAUGCAGCUCAAAAUGGGUGGUAAAUUCCAUCUAAAGCUAAAUAUUGGCGAGAGACCGAUAGCGAACAAGUACCGUGAGGGAAAGAUGAAAAGCACUUUGGAAAGAGAGUUAAACAGUACGUGAAAUUGUUGAAAGGGAAACGCUUGAAGUCAGUCGCGUUGUGCGGAGCUCAGCCUUGCUUCUGCUUGGUGUAUUCUCCGUUUCGACGGGUCAACGUCAAUUUCAACCGGUGGAAAAGGGCCUGAGGAAUGUAGCGUCGUUUCGGCGACGUGUUAUAGCCUUGGGUCGUAUGCAUCGGUCGGGAUUGAGGACCGCAGCACGCCCUUGUGGCCGGGGGUUCGCCUCACGUUUGUGCUUAGGAUGUUGGCAAAAUGGCUUUAAGCGACCCGUCUUGAAACACGGACCAAGGAGUCUAACAUGCCUGCGAGUG
Molecule: ribosomal RNA, 606 nt
Filed under: Hymenochaete sp. JAM-2020c
Lineage: Eukaryota; Fungi; Basidiomycota; Agaricomycetes; Hymenochaetales; Hymenochaetaceae
Description: partial large subunit ribosomal RNA
Rfam family: Eukaryotic large subunit ribosomal RNA
Source: RNAcentral